UUUUUAGUAUAAGUAUUCCCCAUGCAAUAUUUGGGACAUACUUAUAUAAAA
Molecule: microRNA precursor, 51 nt
Filed under: Loxodonta africana (African savanna elephant)
Lineage: Eukaryota; Metazoa; Chordata; Mammalia; Proboscidea; Elephantidae
Description: mir-1302 microRNA precursor family
Rfam family: mir-1302 microRNA precursor family
Source: Rfam by way of RNAcentral